CUCUCGGUAGAUAAUUGAAUACCUUGAGACUAUACUAACAUGUUACCUCAACAUUCAUGGUAUUCCUGUAUCUUGUAGCACACUAUUUGAGAGAGAGAGGACCUUUAUGAAGAAGAGAAAAAUGUACCUUCCUCUGUUUAAGGAGCAAGAGCUGUCACCAGUACUCGAGUCCAACCUGUCAGAUAACAGCGCGUCCGACUACCAGCAUCUUGUGCGUGACUCGUUCAGCCCGCUCUCAGUCGCCUCACCAGUGAGCGUCAGCUCAGCAGGGCUGUUCCCUUCCCAUCAGCCCUCACGAGCACACACAACACCUCACCCUUGGGGCAUCAAACAGCCCGAGCAAAACCAGUUUAAUCCCUACUUCCAACCCAGUGGAGGGAGAGAGAGCAACCGUUGGUCAGGAGAUCAGGCAGGGACAUCAGCUCACACACACACCAACAUACCAGUUACCAGAGUCCAGUUUGGAGGAAUAGAGACAAUGUAAGCAUGUGUGAGUGUGUGUGUGUGUGUGUAUUUGUGUGUGUGUGUGAGAGAGUGUGUAUGAGAAAUAAAGAUAUAAAUGAGAGAUAGAUAUCACAGUCCAUGUUUUGGAGGCAAAGAGACAAUGGAAGCAUUUGUGUGUGUGCAAGAGAGAGGGAGAGUCCAUUU
Clupea harengus (Atlantic herring) is the source of this 648-nucleotide long non-coding RNA. RefSeq lists it as uncharacterized. The record is from RefSeq and is a predicted model, not a curated record. The transcript is spliced from 3 exons. Lineage: Eukaryota; Metazoa; Chordata; Actinopteri; Clupeiformes; Clupeidae.